GGCCCGGGCCCGCUGGGCGAGUUCCUGCCGCCCCCCGAGUGUCCGGUGUUCGAGCCCAGCUGGGAGGAGUUCGCGGACCCCUUCGCCUUCAUCCACAAGAUCCGCCCGAUCGCCGAGCAGACCGGGAUCUGCAAGGUGCGGCCGCCGCCGAUUUAUUUAUUGAUUGAUUGAUUGUUACAAGCACUGGGUGUAUAGUCAGAAGCGUGGGAGGACGAGAGAAUUCACCAGAGCCAGAGCGGGGAGCAGAGCAGGCAGAAGGACCGAAGGACACUGCUGAGGGGAGCAGCGGGCGGCAGGAGAGGUCUGCGCGCCAUGUGGGACCCUCCUCCGGUGGCUGGGGAGCAGCCGGGGAUCGAACCAGCGCCGCAAAGGCUGCGGGCAGCUUCGCAACCCAGCGCUCAACCGCUGCGCCACCGGGGAGGCCCCAUUUACUUGUAUAUUCUGACAUAUUUUCUUUGAUAAGUUUUUGUCUAAUCUUCCAGGCUCAAACUCAUGUAAAAUUGAAUUUCUUGGACCAGAUUGUGAAAUAUUGGGAAUUACAGGGAAGUACUCUGAAAAUUCCACAUGUGGAGAGGAAGAUCUUGGACUUGCUUCAGCUUAAUAAGACAAGAAAAGUUCUGGAAAGAGAUAAUUGACUCAGCAAAAAGAUGAAGUGAUAAUUCAGUACUUUAACUUCAGUUUCACUUAACUGUAAAGCCUCCAUUCUUUCCACCGACAUGCUGCCAUUCUGUCUACUCUCGAGAUUUUCUGGAGAUUUUUGAGAUCACUGAGAAGGACCAGUUGGUUGCAGAAGAAGGUGGCUUUGCAGUUGUUUGCAAGGAUAGAAAAUGGACAAAGAUUGCCACCAAGAUGGACUUUGCUCCUGGCAAAGCCCUUGGCUCACAUAUUAGAGGGCAUUAUAAGCGAAUCCUCAAUCCCUACAACUUAUUCCUGCCUGGAAACAGUUUAAGGUGGCCGGAACCUCUCUGUCCGGGAGGGCCAGGCAGGGUGCAGACAGACAGAGCCUGCUGGGAGCGCCACUGCCUGGAGCACAACGUCCAGCCCGGUGGGCCUGCUCAGCAACGGAGGCAGAGAGCAGCAGUGCCUGCAUCAGCAUCUUCACCAUGAGACCAGGGCUGUCAGGCUCGGGCCUUGCAUGGUGGCCUGGACAGUGUCACAGGUGAGCGAGUUUGGGCAGGUUCCCCUGCCCCAGCCCAUCCAUUUUCCUAGUGCCAUGUCAGGGGAGCUGUACUUGGAAAAGAGUGGAUUUAGGGUCUGGUCUAGACGGUCCUCAGGAGGGCUCCUCAGGGCUUCCUGUGCUGAGAGAGCCUAGAAACUGUCAGGUGUUCCAUGGGGUCAGACCUGGCAGGAAGACUGCAGAGGACAGUGGUUUACAAGCAGGAACUUUUCUAUACCCUGAGACUUUGGAAGUUCCCGUUGCCUGAGGGACUCCAGAACAUUCACAGUGGGCCCUGUUCACCCGCAGGCAUAACAGGCCCCGUAAUAGGAUGUGGGCCUGUGUGAACUAGGCUGGUGCUGGCUCCCAGCAUGCUCCUUCCUCCUUUCUGCAUGUGAACCCCUCAGUUUCCUCUUCCUGAAAAUCCUGCGGUCCCCUCCACCUUAAUGACGUUGUAGAUGUUAAUCUUUCUCUACAUUACUGUGUAUUCUUCUCCCUAUCCAGAGUCCAGUGAGACUCCCCUGGCGCCCCUCCAGUUCCUCACCAAGCAGAAUGAAGUGGCUGUGGACCUUUAUUUUUUUAAGACUGAUUGAUUUAUGCAUACAAGAGCUGGGUACAGCCAGAGGUGGGGGGCGGGGGGGGAAGGGUAGUGAGAGGAUUCACCAGAGCCAGAGCGGGGAGCAGAACAGGCAGACUGACUGAAAUACACUGCUGAGGGGAGCAGCGGGCGAGACAGGAGAGGUCUGGUACGCCAUGUGGGUCACAUUCCUGGCCGGGGAUCGAACUCGUACUGCAGUAGCUGCAGAUAGCUUCAUAGUGCUAACGCUUAACCCCAGCUGUGGACCUUGAAAUAGGGCUUCAAAUCCCCCCAGACGGGCCCAGAUGGGACUGGCCUAAAAGUGACCCUGGAGUGUCCUGUGCUCCUCUCGGCCAGUUGUGCGGUUAUGCACCCAGAGUUGGGGAGGCUCAGCAUGUAGGUCCCUGUGGGGCUAAGACCAGUUUUUCAUCUUUGCAUGCUUUCUUUCUCCUGAAGAUGAGGCAAGAACUGGUGCUUCAACAGCUCCCACCCUGGGCAGCUGACACCUGGCACCAGAGAUGCAGCCAACCGCUGUGCCCCAGACACCACUCUGUGGGUAGGGAGGGCAACCCCUGAUGCGGGAGCCAUCGAUCACAGGGGAGAGGGCCACGUGCCCUGGGACCUCCUGAGGUCAGCGCAUCCUUAGCCACCCCCCACCCCUUGGGAGACUGAAUCUGGCUGGAGGAAAGAGGACCCCGGGCCCAUGGCAGUGACUGGGGCUCUCUGGCCCGCAGUUCCUGGGCUUCUCUGGGCGCUCCACUUCCCUGGGCAGUGGGGUAUUGAGCGUUGAUCUCGCUGAACAGCCGGAAUCUGCCCUGCUGUGCCCUGAGUUUUGGACUCAGGUUCCUGCCCCCUUGUUCUGAUGCAAGUUGCCUUUGAACUUGCUCCAGCUCUGGCCCAGCAGGUAGGAGGAAGCUGCCUCAGCAGCUCAGCCUCUUCUAGACGCCAAGGAGAACCCCCAGCUGGGAGAGGCUUCUGCUUAGCUCGUAUCCACUUCCCAGGUGACCCCUUCCUUGCCUGAGGCCUGGGAACAGGGGAUGGUGGGGUUUGGGGGGGGAGUGGGAGGAGGCCCUCUGGGAGCCAGGGCUUUGGUACUGGUCCAUCGGAGGCAUGGUCCCAACCUCCUCCCUGCUGUCUGUAGAGACUGAGGAUUGCAAGUGACCUGAGAGUGCAUUCUGUGCCAGAAUGAAGCGAAGCUCUUGGGCUUAGGCCUUUUUUAAAAGGAGGGUAUUUGCACACCCAUGUGUCUGGUGUAGAUGGACACUUUAUGGUCCAAGGAGCAGUAGUGGCCACGGGUACAUGUUAAACCUACAGAACCCUGGGUUCCAUGCUCAGGUGGCCUGGAAACCCGUAUAUUCAGGAAGACGGUGUUACCUCACUCUCCUACAACUAGGUGGCAAAGCACAAAGCAAGAGGGCCCAGCUUUUUGUGACCUUGAUUAUGUCUCCACUGUGCCUCACCCUGGGUACACCCCUCGGCACAUGUAGCGCGGCCUCUCUGGGUCAUCACGGACACUUGUCGGGCUUUCUUUCUCACCUGUAUGCCGCUGAAGCGAAAGGACAUGGGGGAAAUGUCCCAGGCGAUGGAACUUGCCUGAUUGGUGUGACGACUAAAUAAAUAUGUACACUUGUGAUGUCAAGUCAUUGGCUAUUGAGUAAAAUGUGUACAGUUAAGUAUAAACUAUGCCUCAAUGUUUUUUGAAACACUGAUGUGAAGAUGGUUGUGGUUAUACAAAACAUAAAACAAAGACAGAGGCAAUUAUAAAUCAGAGACAUCUGCAGGGGAGGAGGAGGGAGAGGGAUCAGAGGGAUGGAGAGAGGAGCACAGGGGACUGAGGUGAUGGUGCACAGGUGCCUUGGGGAAGGAAACUCUAUGGGGACCACACCUGGGUAGUGGGGGGGGGGAAGCAAACAUUGUUUAAAAAUGAAGAAUGAUGUAAAAAAUACAUAAAUAAAAAGAAAAUUUUAAAAAAUUAUAUUACCCCCCAAAAAAAUACGGUUGUGGUUAAGUCGCAAGAGCACUCCAUGGAAAAAGGGUCUUUCAGGAUAAGAGGACAAUGGGGGCAGGGGAAGGCCACCUGUGACCUUAACACAGUUACCUGGUCCUGUAGACAAAGCAGAGCGAGUGUCUUCAGGCCUUCCUGAGCUUCAACAGCUGUGGGGUGGAUCUGACCAGGCUUCACCUCCAGCUUCAUGGAGUGGCUUUCUGUGCACUAUAACAAGAAGCUCAAGUUGCAGUUUGUUCUCGCCCCAGGCCCCUGAGCGUACACAUCAAUUGUAGAGCCAACAACUCGACUAACCUGCCACCCUAGAGCAUGAGAGUUGCAAACUGACUUGGGCAUUGAAGACUUCUUUGAUCUGUGUUACUGCACCUGGUCAUGAGCAGCCUCAGUCCACCAGCCUCGGCAGAGCCUCAGCCAGAUGGUUUUCUACCACUGCCCACCUGUAUUUCCAUGGCGUGCUCAACGUGGACACUUGGAGUCUAGGCCAAGCCGAUUCCCUGUGGACAAGUCUACUUCUCCCUGGUGAGCUGUUCACCUACCACCAGCAUGCUGUAGCCACUCAGUCUGCCCCCCCACCCUGGGGAAGGGAGUGUUUUGGAAGCCAGAAGGGCCCACCAUCCAGAUAGGGGCAAGGCGUGGGUCAGAAGGUCUGUGAUUACAGCCUCUUCCUUUUGAAGUGAUGAGGCGGCCUCACUUUCUGCCCCAACCUGUUAUCAGUUCAUAUUCCCACAGGGCACUGGGCAUACGACCUGGUUGAUGUUUUAUGGGUUUUGUUCCAGGCAGAGUCUUGGAAGAUGAAAGGUGGCAGGUCGGCAUAUAGGAAUCCCAUACAGGUUCCCCGCCCUGUUACAAGGCGGCGGACGAGCCCACAGAGGGAAGGAGGCGGGUUCUCCGGGUCAUAAAGAUAAUAAUAACUGCUUGCUGGGAUUAAAGACUCGUCCUGUGGCUGAGACCUAGACUCAAAGGUAGGAUGUCGGGAGGCUGACUCUCUUUUCAGCUCCAUGUGAAGAAACACGCAUGCAUGGAGCAGGCUGCCUGUCAAGCAGCUGCCUCAAGAGCUUAAGGGGAAGUGGAGCCUUCAUGUAUCUGGAAUGCUGACUGUGAAAUGUGUUCACACAUGCUAACUAGACCUGUGUCUCAAGCAGGUCAGGUUAUAUCCAGUCGGAGAUCCCCACAGUGUUUGAAACUUUUUUAAACUAUUCAUUUCCUAAUCUAGAAAAAACUGGGAGGCUGCAGAACCAGACUGUAGUUCAACAUCUGCUUCUUCUGUUUUUCCUUUGAUGAUCCAUUUAAAACCUCCAGUCCAGUGUGCUAGCAAAAUGAGUAGUCUCCAAGUAACAAUACUCAGUAGUUUUCCAUGGUCUGUUAUGAACAUCAAGGUGGAAUCAAAGGCAAGAGAUUGGUUUUUUUGUCUCUUAAUGAAAACUGUCCAUACUUUUUCUUGAUUGUGACUUCGAAGGGACCAGUCUCAGUGUCCCACGUGCAUGAUUUUUAUGUGCCUUGUGGUAUUGAACUUGCUCCUCUAUCCCCUUGUUUCUUAGCAGUUGGCAAAUGCCAACCACCAGGAACUGUCCUUCCCCACAGGGCAGUCCUUGUGCAAACUCUUCUGGGGGCCCAGAACUAGGCAUUUACCCUGUGACUCUGCUUUUUAGGUUCUCAUCAACUGCCAGCACCCACAGUGGGGCCUGGGGGAGACCUGGCCAAGGUGCAGCAUGCUGUCUACAUGCUCAGAACCUCCAGAGCCAGGGCUACUGAGGCCUGGGACCGCCUCAGCCACAGUGUGACCUGUUUGCCAAGUGGCAUUUGUGUGCUGGCAUCUGAGCGAAGACAUGGAGCCAUGGGGUUUCUCUGAGCCCUAGAAGACCUGGUUGCCAUGGAGAGGGAGUAUGAAGAAGUAGCAAAGACUGACAGUGGCGUGGAUGGAUGUGAGGGGUUCUGGGGUCCUAGCAUGUACAAUGUCCCGUCUCCCCAGUUUUGUGUGUCUCAUUUCUCUGUAUCCCUUUAACAAAUACAAUUGGUGUUGCACGUGGUACGGAACUGUGUGAUGUGAAUCCUGCCCAGGCAGUGGCCUUGUCUUCCCUCCUAAGCCCUGACCCUCCUUGUAAGUGCAGGGGCAGGCUGGGCUUGCCUGUCUCAGCUGCAGACCGCCCUGACCAGUGUGCACGGUCUGUGGCCUUGGCCGUGGUGCUUUGACUUCACGGUGCUGCCUUUGCCUGCCUUCACCCAGCCCAGCUCAGGAAGGAUAAACCUUGAGCUUCUGGUGAGAUGUGUCCCCUCAUUCUGGGACACAAAGCCCAUCUCAAUUUCAGUGCCAAGAGGGAAUCCAGCCUUUUUCCCUUCCUCCCUCCUCAUGGCCAGUAGAGGGCGGUGGGGGUUGAAUUCCCAGGCCUCCCUGCAGCCUCCAUCUUAUUUAGGGCUGCAGCUGAUACCUCACACAGAAGGAACAGAAAGGGUCAAGAACAGGGACUCCGCUGGACAGGAGUCUAGUCUGGGGCCGUGUAGUUCUGAAAGAACUUUCAAAGGUGCCUGUGACCUUCAAGGCAAGAUCCUCAAGUUGGUCUUUCUUUCCUCAAAUUGGGUUGGGUAAAGGGAUAAAAAAGUGAUGAGGAAAAGAACUUCAAGGUUCCAACCAUUUGUGGUCAAUGUGUAAUCUUAGAGAUCAGUCAGUAAAAGUAGCUCAGGUUAAACUGAAGGGUGUCCUUUAGCACAAACCAAGUUAAAAGAAGCUUCUCUUGGACCAGACUUUGCCUAUGGACUGGCCGUACCUGCUUUGACAUUCAGUUCUAGCCUAUGACUCAGGAUGCCUCUGGUUUAUUCAAGCACCAAGGAGCCUUGUACUGAUGGAAAUGUCACCAGUGGCCUUGUUUUCAGUUCUGAUGCUAGAUGCUAAACAGCUCAUCCCCACCUUCUGAGGAUGGAGUGAAAGAAGGCCAGGGCAUGUGAUAUGGUUUUGGUCCUGAAUUCUGCCAUCAGGUACUAGCAUCAUGGCAGAGGCAGUGGGCAUUGGUCCAGAUACACUUGUAAGUGGGCAGUUGGAAUUUCUGGCUUCUUGUUUUUACUUAGAUAGAAAGUUCAUCUUUUAUCCACUUAGGUGACUGACAAGAAAGGAGUAAGAAUCUGCAAGACCUUGGCUCUCCUGGAGAAUGAAAAGAAGCAUCUAAUGAGUCCGAGCCCAGCCAGCAUCCUGGAGGGCCCACUGAGGCUGCUGUAGUCAGUUCUCUGAGUCAGCACCUAUUGCCCCUGCUCUGAGCAGCAGGAGCCCUAGGAUCCUCCAGGUGCCACCACCCAGGGGUCCCCCACCCACAUAUGGGACUUGAAACCCACUUGCCACCUGAGUCCCACCCUAGGGCAGAACAGAGGAAGAGGAAGCUGUGAAGGGGUCGUGGCACAUGGUGACGUAGAUGCGGAGACACAAACGAACCAUGACCCGGGCAGGCAGUGUCCAAGGGGCUGAUGGCUGAAUGGAUUUUUGUGGGCUGGCCAGGAGUGGACCGGGCAGAAAUAAGGGGGCAGUGGAUGCUUUCCAGCGCCGGGGUGAAGGUGCAGCAGGGUGGCCAGAACCAGGUGAAAGCUCCCCAGAAGGGGGCCAUGUGCUCAUGGCCUAGGGUCUCCUGGCCCAAGGACAGGUUCCCUGCAGAGGGAAAGGACUGGUCUCUCUAGCACAUGAGCCUUUGCGGGCAGAGCCUAUGUUUAGAUGACCUCCACAUUGCGCCGCCCCCAGUCACACUCAGAAUCCCAGUAAGCUUGAGGGCCCGGGGUUUGAGGUCUUGAACUGCUGAAUGCGGAGUUAAGGGCAGAGAGAGACAGUGACCCCCUAAGACCUUUGGAAGCCAGUAGUUACGGUUCAGGUUCGAGUGAUAGCUACAAAUGCCAGUGGUCACCCAUGUCCCCUGCGCCUCCCUCCCCACAUCUCAGUGAGGCUGGCUGGCUCCGUCUUACUGCACAGGGAGAAGAGAAAGUUGAAAACAAAUUGGUGACCGACGCUGAACCAGUCCUUACCCUUUCUGGGACAUGCUGACCACCCCGAGGAGCAGGUGGGAGGCUGUUGAUUCGGACUCAAGCCUGGACGUGAGCACCUUCCCAGAACAACCUAACCAGAUUCAGCUGAGGUCCAGAAGGAAUAGGUCUGGCCAGGAGUGGACCGGGCAGAAAUAAGGGGGCAAUGGAUGCUUUCCAGUGCCGGGGUGAAGGUGCAGCAGGGUGGCCAGAACCAGGGGAAGGAAGGUCCUCAGCCACAGGGGCGGGGAGAGGCCUGCAGGGAGCACAUGCUUCCUGUCUCGUCUCACCCCAGUCUGCAGCCUUAGGGGAAGGAAACAAGACAGUGGAGAAGCCUGGGAAGAUAAUGAACCCUUUCUCAUAUUGAGAGUCAAGUAAUCUCUCCUCUGGACACUCCUCUGUAACCUGGGAAACAUCUAGAUCUCCAGUCAAGGACCUGCCCUGUGUCUCUGGGUCAGGCAGUGAACCCAAGGAACUCAAGAUACAUGAAGGGUUGUGGAUGUCUCCCCCAGUCCAUCUUGUUACAUCUGUUUCUUUCCAUAAAGCUCAUCAGGCUGUCCUGUUGGGAUUCUUGGUGGUGAGGCUUACCUCUUGUAGUAUGGCCUUUCAGGCUAUCAGAAAUGGAGCAGGCAAGUUCCAUGUAGGUUGCAUGUAGCAGCAAUUUAAAAAAGAAGGUGCAGGGCCUCCCUGGUGGCACAAGCUGUUGAGCGCAGCGCUGUGAAGCUGUCUGCAGCCUCUGCAGCGCGAGUUCAAUCCCAGCAGGCCAGGCACAUGGUGCAGCAGACCUCUCCUUUCUCACCCGCUGCUCCCCUCAGCAGUGUAUUUCGGUAGAUCUGCCUGUUCUGCUCCCCACUCUGUCUCUGGUGAGGCCUCUCACCGCCCCCACACCACCCGCACACCUCUGGCCUGUCCUCCAGUUCUUGUAUGCAUAA
Molecule: long non-coding RNA, 8663 nt
Organism: Talpa occidentalis (Iberian mole)
Lineage: Eukaryota; Metazoa; Chordata; Mammalia; Eulipotyphla; Talpidae
Exons: 6
Source: RefSeq, a predicted model, not a curated record